Molecule: ribosomal RNA, 315 nt
Filed under: uncultured Pseudomonas sp.
Lineage: Bacteria; Pseudomonadati; Pseudomonadota; Gammaproteobacteria; Pseudomonadales; Pseudomonadaceae
Description: bacterial SSU rRNA
Rfam family: Bacterial small subunit ribosomal RNA
Source: RNAcentral
GAGAUGUUGGGUUAAGUCCCGUAACGAGCGCAACCCUUGUCCUAGUUACCAGCACGUUAUGGUGGGCACUCUAAGGAGACUGCCGGUGACAAACCGGAGGAAGGUGGGGAUGACGUCAAGUCAUCAUGGCCCUUACGGCCUGGGCUACACACGUGCUACAAUGGUCGGCACAAAGGGUUGCCAAGCCGCGAGGUGGAGCUAAUACCCAUAAAAACCGAUCGUAGUCCGGAUCGCAGCCUGCAACUCGACUGCGUGAAGUCGGAAUCGCUAGUAAUCGUGAAUCAGAAUGUCACGGUGAAUACGUUCCCGGGCCUU